Molecule: ribosomal RNA, 497 nt
Filed under: uncultured bacterium
Lineage: Bacteria
Description: partial 16S ribosomal RNA
Rfam family: Bacterial small subunit ribosomal RNA
Source: RNAcentral
GACGAACGCUGGCGGCGUGCCUAAUGCAUGCAAGUUGAGCGAUGAAGAUUGGUGCUUGCACCAAUUUGAAGAGCAGCGAACGGGUGAGUAACGCGUGGGGAAUCUGCCUUUGAGCGGGGGACAACAUUUGGAAACGAAUGCUAAUACCGCAUAACAACUUUAAACAUAAGUUUUAAGUUUGAAAGAUGCAAUUGCAUCACUCAAAGAUGAUUCCGCGUUGUAUUAGCUAGUUGGUGAGGUAAAGGCUCACCAAGGCGAUGAUACAUAGCCGACCUGAGAGGGUGAUCGGCCACAUUGGGACUGAGACACGGCCCAAACUCCUACGGGAGGCAGCAGUAGGGAAUCUUCGGCAAUGGACGAAAGUCUGACCGAGCAACGCCGCGUGAGUGAAGAAGGGUUUCGGAUCGUAAAACUCUGUUGGUAGAGAAGAACGUUGGUGAGAGUGGAAAGCUCAUCAAGUGACGGUAACUACCCAGAAAGGGACGGCUAACUACGUG